GACGAACGCUGGCGGCGUGCUUAACACAUGCAAGUCGAACGGAAAGGCCCUGCUUUUGUGGGGUGCUCGAGUGGCGAACGGGUGAGUAACACGUGAGUAACCUGCCCUUGACUUUGGGAUAACUUCAGGAAACUGGGGCUAAUACCGGAUAGGAGCUCCUGCUGCAUGGUGGGGGUUGGAAAGUUUCGGCGGUUGGGGAUGGACUCGCGGCUUAUCAGCUUGGUGGUGGGGUAGGGGCUUACCAAGGCCUUGACGGGUAGCCGGCCUGGGAGGGUGACCGGCGACACUGGGACUGGGCUACGGCCCAGAGUCCUACGGGAGGCAGCAGUGGGGAAGGUUGCACAAUGGGCGGAAGCCUGAUGCAGCAACGCCGAGUGCGGGAUGACGGCAUUCGGGUUGUAAACCGCUUUCGCCUGUGACGAAGCGUGAGUGACGGUAAUGGGUAAAGAAGCACCGGCUAACUACGUG
This 468-nucleotide ribosomal RNA is filed under the name uncultured bacterium. RNAcentral's name for it is "partial 16S ribosomal RNA". It matches the Rfam family "Bacterial small subunit ribosomal RNA", at positions 28 to 507 of the family's 1533-position model. The record is from RNAcentral.